Molecule: ribosomal RNA, 492 nt
Filed under: uncultured bacterium
Lineage: Bacteria
Description: partial 16S ribosomal RNA
Rfam family: Bacterial small subunit ribosomal RNA
Source: RNAcentral
AGUGAACGCUGGCGGUAGGCCUAACACAUGCAAGUCGAACGGCAGCACAGUAAGAGCUUGCUCUUACGGGUGGCGAGUGGCGGACGGGUGAGGAAUACAUCGGAAUCUACUUUUUCGUGGGGGAUAACGUAGGGAAACUUACGCCAAUACCGCAUACGACCUACGGGUGAAAGCAGGGGAUCUUCGGACCUUGCGCGAUUGAAUGAGCCGAUGUCGGAUUAGCUAGUUGGCGGGGUAAAGGCCCACCAAGGCGACGAUCCGUAGCUGGUCUGAGAGGAUGAUCAGCCACACUGGAACUGAGACACGGUCCAGACUCCUACGGGAGGCAGCAGUGGGGAAUAUUGGACAAUGGGCGCAAGCCUGAUCCAGCCAUACCGCGUGGGUGAAGAAGGCCUUCGGGUUGUAAAGCCCUUUUGUCGGGAAAGAAAAGCAGCAGGUUAAUACCCCGCUGUUCUGACGGUACCCAAAGAAUAAGCACCGGCUAACUUCGUG